GGUGCGCGGGUCUCGGCGCUGCGGCUGGUCAACAGAGAGCUGCGGCCUGUGGAGCAUUGUCUAAUCUCAGAGCGCUGAGGGCGGGCACCGAGAAUCCUGGCGUUAGUCCAAGGGGCCUGGCGAAAUCUCAUUAACGAGAACUGCAGGUUGUUGGUGAAGUCACGACGUAGUGCCAGUGGCCUCGUCCCCCUCUAUGCGCAAGGGAUCCUCACAAGCUGUGGAAUCCGGGCGUCGGGACCCGCGGGGACCUGGGCCUUCUGCUUCCACUCUCAUUCCUGAAUGUUAAAGGGGCAGGGCCGGACUGGGAACAAGAGAAGGCUGGAGAAAUAGCAGGGCCGGAUUUUCCCCCCGAUAACAGACAUUUGCAGACCUCCUAGAAGGAAAAGUCUAGAAACAGUGGUAUUGGGGAAAGAACGAUGUGGCCAUCUCAUGUCGUGAUGGGAACCCCUUUGCCCUUGAGACACCGUCGUCUCUCACCUGCUUUAUCGUCAUGAUCUUCUGACUGGAUUUCCUGCCCCGAGAUUUGCCAUUGCUGUCAGACCCACUCCAGCCCAGGCUUCUCCUGGGCAUGCUACAUACACUGUGGGAAGGCGGAAGACUGACCUAGAACACCUUCAAGUGGAUGCUACACUUAAAAAUGAACUCCUGGAGGGUGAGACCAUGCAUGAAAACUGGCAGAAGACUCUAUCAUAAAGAGGAAGCCGUCAGGUUCUUGGAUAAUUGCUGAAUGGAACUAAGGGAAAUGAGAAGAGAGAAGCAUCUCAGAGUAUGUUUGGACUUGCUGCAUGCCUUGGACCCUGCUACACACUGAUAACUGAGUAUUGAGCCCUUGAGCUGAUAAACAAGGGUCUUUGACUCAAGAGUGUUUUGCAUCCUGUUUGCAAGCUUUAUGUUUGUUUCUUUUCCUCCAAGAGUAUGUUUUCUUACUCCCCAUAUGGCCCCAAACCACACAUUGAGAAAUAUGGCCUACAGUUUGUGAUUAAUGAAACCCUAUCUCCACUCCACCCUCCACUCAUUAACCAAUGAUCUCUACUGGUGCCUGUCACAUUUACAAAUAUGAGAGAGGCCUUCAUUUAAAUCUGGAACUAAGCUAGUGAUUUCAGUUACAAUAUUCCGAGUCAUUCUGACAUUAUC
Long non-coding RNA from Rhinopithecus roxellana (golden snub-nosed monkey), 1134 nucleotides. RefSeq lists it as uncharacterized. NCBI's taxonomy places the organism in Eukaryota, Metazoa, Chordata, Mammalia, Primates, Cercopithecidae. The transcript has 4 exons. The record is from RefSeq and is a predicted model, not a curated record.